CUGCUGGGGAGAAAAUGCCCGCGGGCGGGGUGGGGCAAACAUCUGGGCCUGACCUUGGACAUCUGUGUCCCUGAGCGCAGGUAAUGCCGAACUGGGGAGGAGGCAAGAAAUGUGGGGUGUGUCAGAAGACGGUUUACUUUGCCGAAGAGGUUCAGUGCGAAGGCAACAGCUUCCAUAAAUCCUGCUUCCUGUGCAUGGUCUGCAAGAAGAAUCUGGACAGUACCACUGUGGCCGUGCAUGGUGAGGAGAUCUACUGCAAGUCCUGCUACGGCAAGAAGUAUGGGCCCAAAGGCUAUGGCUACGGGCAGGGCGCAGGCACCCUCAGCACUGACAAGGGGGAGUCGCUGGGUAUCAAGCACGAGGAAGCCCCUGGCCACAGGCCCACCACCAACCCCAACGCAUCCAAAUUUGCCCAGAAGAUUGGUGGCUCCGAGCGCUGCCCCCGAUGCAGCCAGGCAGUCUAUGCUGCGGAGAAGGUGAUUGGUGCUGGGAAGCUAUGGGGCCAGAGAGGAUUUCUGGAGCAUCACGUGAGGCCUGAGAUAGAAAAG
This 548-nucleotide small RNA is filed under the name Pan troglodytes (chimpanzee). RNAcentral's name for it is "processed transcript". The record is from RNAcentral. Lineage: Eukaryota; Metazoa; Chordata; Mammalia; Primates; Hominidae.